UUUACGUGAGUCUUCACCUUCUUCAACUUUUAUUUCUUUCUCUCCCGACAAUGUUCCUUAAGAUCUUAAGUCGAAAAUAAGAGAUUCUGUUACGAGUUGAAGCUACAUGAAAGACGUGUUGCAGGACGUGAAGAGCUUCUGUUAGUGGAAUAGGAGAUUCUAUAUUUGAGUGGAAGGAAAAAUGAGCAAUGAAGACGAUGCAAGUUUCCAAUGCUACUACGGUGGGAAGUUUAUAGUAGAUAAUGGGAAUAAAGUUAGCAUGUUGGAGGAGGGAUUCUCAGCCUUGAAAGCAAACCACAAGCAUUAUUGACCAAUUUGAUGGAGUCGUUGAACGAGUCUCUUUGUCAGCAACGCAUUUGGUUUAAGUUUCCAUAUGAGGAGUAUACAGAGCUUAAGCUUAAGUCCCAGGAGAUUGAAAGUUUUUGUUAUAAUCUCAGGAGAACUUUUACGGUUAUGUAAUGGUGUUUUAGGUUCUGUUUGGUUAUGUAAUGGUGAAUGAUAAUGUCGUUGUCCUUUUAUGGUACUGAUAUUUAUUGUUUUUUUGGUACUGAUA
Arabidopsis lyrata subsp. lyrata is the source of this 553-nucleotide long non-coding RNA. RefSeq lists it as uncharacterized. NCBI's taxonomy places the organism in Eukaryota, Viridiplantae, Streptophyta, Magnoliopsida, Brassicales, Brassicaceae. The record is from RefSeq and is a predicted model, not a curated record. The transcript is spliced from 2 exons.